RNAcentral lists this ribosomal RNA (439 nucleotides) under uncultured Streptomyces sp. RNAcentral's name for it is "bacterial SSU rRNA". It matches the Rfam family "Bacterial small subunit ribosomal RNA", at positions 341 to 792 of the family's 1533-position model. The record is from RNAcentral. Lineage: Bacteria; Bacillati; Actinomycetota; Actinomycetes; Kitasatosporales; Streptomycetaceae.
ACGGGAGGCAGCAGUGGGGAAUAUUGCACAAUGGGCGCAAGCCUGAUGCAGCGACGCCGCGUGAGGGAUGACGGCCUUCGGGUUGUAAACCUCUUUCAGCAGGGAAGAAGCGAAAGUGACGGUACCUGCAGAAGAAGCGCCGGCUAACUACGUGCCAGCAGCCGCGGUAAUACGUAGGGCGCAAGCGUUGUCCGGAAUUAUUGGGCGUAAAGAGCUCGUAGGCGGCUUGUCGCGUCGGUUGUGAAAGCCCGGGGCUUAACCCCGGGUCUGCAGUCGAUACGGGCAGGCUAGAGUUCGGUAGGGGAGAUCGGAAUUCCUGGUGUAGCGGUGAAAUGCGCAGAUAUCAGGAGGAACACCGGUGGCGAAGGCGGAUCUCUGGGCCGAUACUGACGCUGAGGAGCGAAAGCGUGGGGAGCGAACAGGAUUAGAUACCCUGGUA